CACCGCGGUKAUACGAGUAAYUCAUAUUAACACACCCCGGCGUAAAGAGUGAUUAAAGAAUGAUCUCUAACAACUAAAGUUUAGACCUCAUAAAGCUGUUAUAUGCAUCUAUGAAUGGGACAAACAAUAACGAAAGUGACUUUAUAUAAUAAGAAACCCUUGAUAUCACGACAGUUAGGACCUAAACUAGGAUUAGAUACCCUAUUAUACCUAACCAUAAACUUAGACAAUAUUUUACCCUAUUGUUCGCCAGAGUACUACAAGCGCUAGCUUAAAACCCAAAGGACUUGGCGGUAUCCCACACCCACCUAGAGGAGCCUGUUCUAUAACCGAUAAUCCCCGUUCAACCUCACCACUUCUUGCCAUUACCGUCUAUAUACCGCCGUCGUCAGCCCACCCUGUGAAGGACUAAAAGUAAGCAAAAAGAAUAAACCUUCAAAACGUCAGGUCGAGGUGUAACAAAUGAAGUGGAAAGAAAUGGGCUACAUUUUUUCCCAAAAACAUACGAACGAUAUACUGAAAAAAAUAUCUAAAGGUGGAUUUAACAGUAAGAGAAGAUUAGAAUACUUCCCUGAAACCGGCUCUGGGAUAAGCACACACCGCCCGUCACUCUCCUCAAAACUUAACCCAUUCUUAUAUAAAUAUAUUUUUCCAAUAAGAGGAGGCAAGUCGUAA
RNAcentral lists this ribosomal RNA (675 nucleotides) under Hemipristis elongata (snaggletooth shark). RNAcentral's name for it is "partial 12S ribosomal RNA". It matches the Rfam family "Bacterial small subunit ribosomal RNA", at positions 513 to 1491 of the family's 1533-position model. The record is from RNAcentral. Lineage: Eukaryota; Metazoa; Chordata; Chondrichthyes; Carcharhiniformes; Hemigaleidae.